Molecule: long non-coding RNA, 6993 nt
Organism: Anguilla anguilla (European eel)
Lineage: Eukaryota; Metazoa; Chordata; Actinopteri; Anguilliformes; Anguillidae
Exons: 5
Source: RefSeq, a predicted model, not a curated record
CCCCUCUAAAUGAGGACCCUCCUGGGGGGGGGGGGCUUUUUGCCCUUGGGUGCUCAUCCCUCCAUUGCCACGGUGAGGUUUCCAUGGCAAGGUCUCCUGUCUUCUGCAAAUCCUUGGAGUGAAACCUACAGGGCAACCCUCAUCAGCGAAGCCCUCUGCCAAAGGUAAGCCAGUCGCUGUCAGCCACAGACAGGAGAGAGCGAGAGAGAGAGAGAGAGAGAUAGAAAGGGAGGGAGAGAUGGAGAGAUGGAGAGAGAGAGGGAGAGAGACUGAUAGAGAGGGAGGGAGGCUGUGUCCCUUCCCUGACCACACCGCUGAGAUUACUGCCAGCUCUAUUAAUCAUGACGCUAUCUCUGUUCUUAAAACAGGCUUUAAUGUCUCGCGUGCCGCUGGAUCAGACGCUGAAGGAGGCUGCGUUGCUGGUCCUGGGCCAUUUGUGGGGCGCCCCUCACCCCUUAUUCCAGUCCAGUUCUUUUCUUAAAUUCUUCCCUCUGUCUCCCCCAGAAUCUGCGUCAGCCACGUAGUUAUAACCCGAUGACGUCUUUGUGUGAAUCCGUGAACGUGCAAACCGCUAACUGCGACCCUUAUUCUCUCCAGGUGAGAUGUCCUGUCCAGGUGAAUCCUUAGCCCAGGGGGGCUUCCCAGACAGGUAGGAGAUGAGGGCAGCGACGGCGCAGGCGUACGUGAUGAUGCCGAAGAUGAUGGACAGCACGGAGAGCCAGAGGGCCUGACGAGACGCCACACUGGCGCCCUGGAAGUCCCCCUGCGCCGACGCCUUAUUGGUCUGCGGGGGAGAGAGGGGGCGGAGUCAGAACAGAGUCGGUGUUUUGGCGAAGCCGCGCGGCGAUAAAACUGUCGCUCCCGAAUAGUUCUGCUGCUGUAAUCCCCCUAAAUGUCCCUGUAAUCCCGGCUAAAUCGCAGGCGCAAUUACGCCACUGCGUGACCCUGCCGAAAACCUCCCUCUCUCUCCCGGACACCGUGCGGCAGGACAGCGGCUCCCACACAGGGGCCGGGACCCACGGAAAAUGCAGGACGGGGUCUAAAUAUUUAGAUCUGUCAACACUGGCUGUACUUACCUUUUGGGAAAGGUAAAAAGCAGCGAUCCCCAGCGGCCAGAAGCAACAGAGCAUGGAGAAGAACGCCAGUCCCAGGUAGUCCUGCGGGAUCAUUAGCGGGAAGUCGCUCUCGCUGUCCGUGUCGCUGAAGUCUUCGCUCGAAGAGUCCUGACAAGACAACAGAUGCGCGCAGAUGUUAGGCUGUGUUUGUACUUACUCCUGCUGAUUAAAAAAAAAAAAAAUUUUUGUUAUAAAAGAACGCAUUCUCUCGCAGAGUCGGAGGUCAAUUCCAUUUCAGUUCAGCAAGGUCAGGGACUAACUGAAAAAAAAAUCUGACCAUGAAUUUGAAAAAAACAAACAAAAACAAAACAAACAAAAAAAACAAUACCAAUGAUCAUCUAUGAGGAUUUUCAAUUAAUUAACUGACUUCGAAAUUAGUUUCCUAAUUUGACUGAAUUAUCAGUCUUGAGAAAUACAGCAGUCAUUUGCUAGAGCACUCAUAACUAGGCUACACAAGAAAACUAUUAGCUGUGACAUGUUUAGGCUGAUUAAACUGUCAAUGUUGCCGUUGUUGUUCUGCGGUUUCGAAGUUGUUCUGUACAAUGACUUUACUGGUACCUAAAAUAACAUGACGGAAUGAGGUUAUUACACGUGUAGAUUAGCUGCGGGCUAAGUAUGAAUCACGUUUAUGGAAAAAGCCAGGUUGUCAGUCAACACCCGAUUUUGUUUUGUGCCAGUGUUUUUUUUUUUUUUACAUCAUCUUUUGUAUUUUCUAAUAGAUGAGGUGCAUUGAGUAUUCACCUCACCCAGCCUUAUGCAGAACCACCCCCACGCCUACCCUCCGCUCACCAAGCCCCCCUCGAACCAGCCAAUCCUGCCAACGGCUUUCUUUGUCAGCUAUUAAGAUUAAAAGGAAAACAGCAGAGACGGAAUUAAAUUUGCGGCAUCACGUAAUGCAUUUCAAAGAGUAGCUCUGGGAUUUAUUUAUUUAUUUUUGCGUGGGUAGCUGGGACAUUCACUCACAGUGUGGUCUUUUAGUCGUUUUUUUUUUUUUUGAACGCGCGUGCUCUGCCUUGUAAAUCAAUCGCCUCUGUUUCAGUUGGUGUCAGUUAGCCAUCGGGUUCGCUUUAGCGGCCGCCAGCCAUGAUGAAGUAGCCUAUGGCCACGGUCUCCAGGGAAAAGAAAUUAUUUAUUGACGAGCGUGAAGUCAGCUUGGGUAAAGACCCGAGGUCGCACGGACCACACCAGAGGGUGUCACUGUUAACAGCGUGUUCACUUUAUUGAUCUUAUUUAACUCGCUCCCGGUUACCAUGGUGGCGGUAAGAGGGAAUUUAUUAUUUCUUUUUUGGUUUCACAAUGAAGGGGUGAUCCUGCCUGCUUUUCAUGAAUAAUAUCAGAAAAGAAAAUGUUUGUGUGUCUUCGGAUCUAGAGUUCUUUUGCAUUUCUACACAGUAAAAUGUUCAGUGUUAAUUCAACUCUGACACAGUACACAAGUCUAUCUGUGUCUGUGAGAGUUAUUUUAACACUGAACAUUUUGCUGUGUUCCCCUCUCUUGAAUGUACAUAGAGCAGGGAUGUCAGAAUCCUGGCCAGUGGAGUUGCAUUGUCUCCUGUUGUUCGGUGAUUUAUUACUUGAAUUUAUAUAAUAAUAACUGACUGGCUAAAGAGCUAUACAUUAGGGGUUUGUGGUGGUGCAUUGCUUCAGAAACAGUGCUUUCCCAUCAGACCCUUGAGUGAAGUGGUGCACUUAACAUGAUUGCCUGAGCAGAUACCCGACACUGUAAAAUGGGCAGUGUGUCAAAAAAGUGAGCGACGGCCAUUUUCCACAACACUUCAAUGCUGAGAAGUUAUACACCUGUAAUAAAUCGUCAAUAACUGUGUUAUGCGCAAUUUAACAAAUUAGAGACGAUGCCAGCCAAACAUUGAUAAAUGUUAAUAAAUGCAUACCAUGGAAACGGUCUUGAUUUCUGAAAUUCCGCACUGCUCAGAUGCCACAAUAAUUACUUUAACGCUGUGUGGACUAUUCUCGAUCUGCCAACUCCAUCUUAAUUACACAUUUACAAACACUUUUUGAACAUCUGCCAGGAUCAGUACAGGAUCCUGUCUGACAGGAUCAACUGUGCAUUGUUAAAUAAUGCAUAAAGCAGUUAUUAAUAGCUUCCAUCAGUGGGAUUAAACCCUGUUUCAUGACCGACAUUGGCUGUCUGUAGUCUGUGUGAUAAAAUACUAAACGCACCAAUAGCUUGCGAUGAUCUAUUCUUAUUGCAUGUUUGUUUGUGCUGGUGCUGUUUUUUUUUUUUUUAGUUUUGUGCUUUACCACAUGGGCACUGUGUUCGUUUAAUGACUGGCCAUGAUUGAUCCUUUUACUCAGUCGGGAGCGUAACGUCACUGCCUUUCCCACGAAGCUUCGUGUUUAUCACUCAUUAGCGAUCGCUCCACCGCUGCACCUGACUCGUCUCAAUUAGCCGCUAAACGACCCCUAAUUACGCACAGCUGCGUGCGCUUGUCGAUUUGCAUUGCUGCACAUGGCUACUGGCAUUUAAGUCCUUUAAUUCAGCUGAACUGACUACACAGUAAAAAUGCUCAGCCUUAAAUCAACUCCUGUUGGACCUACUGGACUCAUAUGUACUCUGUUAGAGCUGAAUCAGCCUCGCGAGCCAGUCUUUUUUCACUUCGUUCAAGAGUUGAAUUAGCACGGGGCAUUUUACUGUGCAUGUGUCUGUAAAUCAUUGAUGUUUUGUAGUGACCAAAUAUGAUCUAUCAACUAGCCUAGUAAAAUGGAGAUUUUUACAUAUUGCAAAGAGAAAAAGUAUGAAAGUACAAAUGUUAAAGUAUUGUAAAAGAAUAUAUUUAAAAAUGCAAUAGUUGCAUGAAUAAGUGGUAUUUGAAACAAAAUGUUGAAAUUGGAGUGAAAAAUAAAAAGUGGUAGAAUGGUAAUUUUCUAAAAUUGGCUGAAGAGCAAAUACAGAGUAUUAUUAUCUGGUUCAGAUAUCACAAUAUCUAAUAUUAGACUGGUGAUUAGAAUAGGGAGAGAUUCUGAUAAUUUCUCCCUAUUUCUCAAUAAAAUCAACAUAUUCUCUGGACAUGAUCAAAAACAUGUAACAGACCAUUUGGUGCAUUAUAUUUGCCUAUUGAAUUGAACAAUUGUCAUCUGGUAAAGCUGUUAUUUUGGACUGAUACCCAUAUUACAGUAAGAAACGCACAUCUGAGCAUCCAUCUUGGCUUAGAAUUUGCAACAACCAAGAGAUUUUCCAGAGUCUUUCAUGCUAAUUUAGGAAAUUUAAAUCCAUCUAUUUGAAUCCAACAGGCAUUCAAGGUAAUUCUCUUCACGUUCCUUCCUUUAGGAGCACAGUAAAAUUCUCAGCAUCACCACUGAUAUAGAGUAUACUGUGAUAAAGUACACUUGAUCCCUGCUCUGUCAAGCUCUGUCAGAGUUCAUUAACAGCUGAUCAUUUUACUGCGUGCUGUCCGAUUCUGAAUUACCCUACAACCAGCAUUAGACUCAGUCAGAACCCAUAAAAAACAAAAUGGGAGGGCAUACCUGUUUCAACAAAUAGCAUUCUUGCUGGGGUAGAAAUAUUCACUUUCAAAAAAAAUAUGAGUAUGUGUUUAUUUUGAUUUGGACUUGAACCAACUAGUCUUUCAUUAAUAUUAUUGAGGGAUUUUAGCACGUUCUGUUCAUUUGUUGACCGCACUGCUGUAAGGCAGACUGAAAGACUGGACACCUGGAAAAUUCUUAACAUGGAGGCAUGGGAACUGGGCCUGAGAAACCGCACCAGUAUGGGAGGAACUUCCUUUACGGCAGGUCGUAAAACCAUUAGGCCGAGGCUCCUGUAUCCUGCAAGAUGGAUUACGACCUCCUGAACUCCAGGGCAGAAGUGAGUCAGGACACCUUCCUUUUUCGUUUACUCCAAACAAGGGAUCUCAUACAGAAACCAUACAGAGCUGGAAAGAUACAUUUUUCUUUUCAGAGCACUGUAUAAAGGAAACUGUGAAAACUUUCUGCAAAUACUCUGCAUUAUGUUAUCAUUGAGAUAUUGUUUGUCUGAUGUAAUAUAUUGUAUUAGAGUAACAUAAUCACAAUAUACUGGAUAAAUGUAAUAUCAAUAUUAAUACACGUACUUUACCUGACUUAGGUUAAAGGUGUAUAUUGUAGGUAUUGCUACAAUCAGAAUUCAGGGAUCUGUUUGGUUUUUAAAUAUUCAUUUAAUUAGUAGAACUGUGAAAAGGGAGGUUUCAUGACAAAGAGUGUAGCUGCGCAAGAUUUACACUGCCGUGAAUGUAAUAAUCUUUACCCACAAUGCCUUUGUCCUUGUAGCGGUUGUGAUUGGCUCCUCCUGUGCUUUGUCAUAUUGGCUUUUUGAGUCACCCUGAAUACAAUACGUCCAUCAGAUUAAUCAUAACUUAAUGUUAAUUAUGAAUAAUGAUCCUACUACUUCUACUUAUAUUAAUAACAAUAACAAAACUAAUGAUAAUAAUAACUCUGAUACCGUGUAAUCAAGUUUAGAUCAACCAGUGAAUGAAAACAGCUUUUUCAAUACUAAUAUUCAUGUUACCAUUUAAGUUAUUUCUUUAGUUCAUACUAACGGCCACCCUCGUAUCACAUGAGGACAGCUGGCUGGAGUCCCAGGCAACAGGGCGACAGAGAGGAGGGGCUUCACCACCACAGUACUGAGUGGGUUCCCCCGUUCUGUCACCGUGGGAACCGGCUGCGGGUUCCACCUGGUCACUAAGAUAAGCGCGUGUUAGCAUUCCGCACCAUAACAAAACUGCGGAAUGAGAACAGAUCAGAGGCUGACGGGCUCCAGCAGCGAAAAAUGUGCAGAAGAAGAUAUGAUAUGGGGGCUCUGUGCAUUCCAGGAGCUCAAAGGAAUAUGAGCAUUUGUAAGAGAUUUACUCAUUCUUAUUUCACUGAACAGGAUUGACUAUGUAUAUAUAUUUUUUUUUUUUCACAAGUGCAUAAAUUCUAUAUUACUUAUAUAUCAGAUUAUUUUCAUUCCAAACCUUUCACAAAACGUAUAGCCCGAAACAUCGUUGUUAUUUGUUCCAUUGAAUAUGCCUGUCAUGUUAUGAUUUGGUUGCUUGUUGUUGUGGUCUGAAAACUGUCACCAUAAGGAUUUACAUAAUGAAGUGUGACAGGCGAUCGCUUGACUUGAUAACUGCUGCUUGUGGAUGCAUGCUUGAGUGCACUUGCAAAACGCAUCAGGAGCACUACCUCGUAAUCGUGCAGCAGGUCGUCCUCGUCGUCCAUGUUGUAGGACACACUGUGGACAUCCCUCAUCUCCCUGAGCAACUUCCUGUCCAGAGGGGAAGUGGGCCCGAGGUCAACGAAGGUCGUUUCCAGGUAGUCCUUACUGUGCAGGCCGAGGGACUGAGGGUUGCCCCAUAUUGACGCUGGGGGGUAAAAGGGCUCCAGCGUUUUGGGCAAGGAACACGGGUCCAGGAACUGCUGUUGAUGGAGCUCUUUGGGCCCGCAGUAACUCCUCCAGGCCACUGGGGGCAGUGUGUUCUCCUCCUCACAUCUCACCAGGAUGCCCUUGAACAGCCCGCCGCCGCCACCACUUGUACCGCUGCCAUUUCCGCCGCAGUGUGUGGGGCUGGCGGGCAGCAGGGGGUGCUCCAGCUCAUCUAGACUCUCCAUUCUGCUCUAGAAAUGGCGGUUUGAACGGAUUUGACGUCAUCAACCGUCAUCAACCGGUGAUCGUGCUCCUGCUCUCUGUACUCCUCUGUAUGCAAACAGUCAGCUGAGUUCAGUGCCAGGGCUGGAAAUGAUCCAUGGAUAAUGGCAACAAUGCAAUAAUGAUUGACUUUCUUCUUAUUGUUCUCAAACCAGAUUCUGAUACAGCGCCAGCUCAGACUAGCAGAAAGGAUCCAGGAAAUGAGAGCAUCAGACUCCUUGGUUGUGUUCUUCAGGCACGCAGUAGGUAAUUUGUUGUUUG